UGGGGAAUAUUGCACAAUGGAGGAAACUCUGAUGCAGCGACGCCGCGUGGAGGAAGAAGGUCUUCGGAUUGUAAACUCCUGUUGUUGAGGACGAUAAUGACGGUACUCAACAAGGAAGUGACGGCUAACUACGUGCCAGCAGCCGCGGUAAAACGUAGGUCACAAGCGUUGUCCGGAAUUACUGGGUGUAAAGGGAGCGCAGGCGGGAAUGCAAGUUGGGAGUGAAAUCUACGGGCUCAACCCGUAAACUGCUCUCAAAACUGUAUUUCUUGAGUAGUGCAGAGGUAGGCGGAAUUCCCGGUGUAGCGGUGGAAUGCGUAGAUAUCGGGAGGAACACCAGUGGCGAAGGCGGCCUACUGGGCACCAACUGACGCUGAGGCUCGAAAGUGUGGGUAGCAAACAGGAUUAGAUACCCUGGU
This 419-nucleotide ribosomal RNA is filed under the name uncultured bacterium. Its description in RNAcentral is "bacterial SSU rRNA". It matches the Rfam family "Bacterial small subunit ribosomal RNA", at positions 355 to 791 of the family's 1533-position model. The record is from RNAcentral.